ACGGAGGAUGCAAGCGUUAUCCGGAUUUAUUGGGUUUAAAGGGUUCGUAGGCGGAAAAGUAAGUCAGUGGUGAAAGCCUGCAGCUCAACUGUAGAACUGCCAUUGAAACUAUUUUUCUUGAAUAUAUAUGAAGUAGGCGGAAUGCGUCAUGUAGCGGUGAAAUGCACAGAUAUGACGCAGAACACCGAUAGCGAAGGCAGCUUACUAAUGUAUUAUUGACGCUGAUGAACGAAAGCGUGGGGAGCGAACAGG
This 252-nucleotide ribosomal RNA is filed under the name uncultured bacterium. RNAcentral's name for it is "partial 16S ribosomal RNA". It matches the Rfam family "Bacterial small subunit ribosomal RNA", at positions 525 to 776 of the family's 1533-position model. The record is from RNAcentral.